This 464-nucleotide ribosomal RNA is filed under the name Vreelandella stevensii. RNAcentral's name for it is "partial 16S ribosomal RNA". It matches the Rfam family "Bacterial small subunit ribosomal RNA", at positions 339 to 795 of the family's 1533-position model. Lineage: Bacteria; Pseudomonadati; Pseudomonadota; Gammaproteobacteria; Oceanospirillales; Halomonadaceae. The record is from RNAcentral.
CUACGGGCGGCAGCAGUGGGGAAUAUUUGACAAUGGGCGAAAGCCUGAUCCAGCCAUGCCGCGUGUGUGAAGAAGGCCUUCGGGUUGUAAAGCACUUUCAGUGGGGAAGAAAGCCUUGGGGCUAAUACCCUCGAGGAAGGACAUCACCCACAGAAGAAGCACCGGCUAACUCCGUGCCAGCAGCCGCGGUAAUACGGAGGGUGCGAGCGUUAAUCGGAAUUACUGGGCGUAAAGCGCGCGUAGGCGGUCUGAUAAGCCGGUUGUGAAAGCCCCGGGCUCAACCUGGGAACGGCAUCCGGAACUGUCAGGCUAGAGUGCAGGAGAGGAAGGUAGAAUUCGCGGUGUAGCGGUGAAAUGCGUAGAGAUCGGGAGGAAUACCAGUGGCGAAGGCGGCCUUCUGGACUGACACUGACGCUGAGGUGCGAAAGCGUGGGUAGCAAACAGGAUUAGAUACCCCUGUAGUC